AUACGUAGGAUGCAAGCGUUGUCCGGAUUUACUGGGUGUAAAGGGUGCGCAGGCGGGCUUGUAAGUCAGAGGUGAAAGCCCGGAGCUUAACUCCGGAAAUGCCUUUGAUACUGCAAGUCUUGAAUCUGAUAGAGGCUCGUGGAAUAUGUGGUGUAGCGGUGAAAUGCGUAGAUAUCACAUAGAACACCAGUGGCGAAGGCGGUGAGCUGGGUCAGUAUUGACGCUCAUGCACGAAAGUGUGGGUAGC
Molecule: ribosomal RNA, 247 nt
Filed under: uncultured bacterium
Lineage: Bacteria
Description: partial 16S ribosomal RNA
Rfam family: Bacterial small subunit ribosomal RNA
Source: RNAcentral